Long non-coding RNA from Peromyscus eremicus (cactus mouse), 1714 nucleotides. RefSeq lists it as uncharacterized. Lineage: Eukaryota; Metazoa; Chordata; Mammalia; Rodentia; Cricetidae. The record is from RefSeq and is a predicted model, not a curated record. The transcript is spliced from 6 exons.
GGGCCUCGCGCGCAGGCGCCGAAGCGUCUCAGAGGAAGGGGUUGGUGCCAGCCUGCGGGGGCAGCGGCCCCGCCGGGCCGGACGUGGGCAGCAGCGGCUGAGGCAGGCUCGCGGGCGGCGGGGCGAAGGCUCCGGCUUGCGGGAAGACGCUGACCGAGGCGGGGAGGGUCGCUCCGACCGGCACGCUACUGAGCGGGAGGGGCAGGGAGGCGCUGUAGGUCAUGGAGCCCAAGGGCGCCCCGACGGGUCCCCCCGGCGGCAGGCCCAGCGCGGGCGAGCCGGUGCGCAUCUGGUUCAGGGUCGGCCUGCCUUGCUCGCCCGAGCCAAACGGGGCUGCUGGACUUUCCCGUGGCCAGGGCCUGGCUGUCCUUGGGCUCUGUGGAUUCUAGAGGUUUGGCAAAUGGAUCGAAGGAUGAGGCACCACCUAGAGCUAGCCAGGAGAAAGAGGGAAAUGGAGUGAACUAGAAGAAAGGCAUCUUUUAAUGACCCCUCACCUCUGAUCAGCACUUCCCAUUUAUAAAACGUUUCCUCAUCCAUGAAGUGUCCCAUUUCAUAACAUCGCUGUGAGGCUCUCUGUCCCGCCGACGUCGGCCAGCAGGUUCUGCGCCAUUGGUCAUUGGAGAGUCAUCGUCCUUCCAGGACCUGGCCCCCUGCAGAAGGGACAGCCACCCUCUGCAGUCUCAGGUCUCACAUAUCUUUUUCUUCUGGGUACCCUGAGAACGUCUCUAGCCCACCCAUGCAAGAGGCAUAAGUGUUUCCUGCCUGGUCGCCUGGAUCCACAGAGAUAAUGGCAAAGAUGAUGAGGCAUCCUGUGCAGACCCAGGUCUCACCUUUUCAGCCUCCUCACGGCUCAUGGCCAGGGCCAGCUGCAGCUGCAGUUCUUCUUCUCCGGAUGUCUGGGGCCGGGCCUGCUCCAGGUCUGAGGCAUAGCGCGGGGACGAGGAUGCAGCUGCAACAAGUGGGGUUCCCGUGAGCACACCGGUCCCCACGGUCCCCACACUCCUCUGCCUGCCAGGAAGCUGGGGCUCACAGAGAGGGAGCCAAAGGAGACUGGCUAGUCAGGCUCCAGGGAGCCAGGCAGUGCACUGGGCACCCCUUGUGGAUUUUCCACUUCACUGCUAAGGCAGAUGCCAGGGUCACCUUGGCAGGGAGUAGACAGUGCAGGGGGUGCCUGGCCACUUAGGGCCCUAAGUCAGAACCUAAUGCAGGUCCCUGACAUCAGCUCUUGAACCCUUCCAAUGGGACCCUAGCCUGCUUGGGGCCACGGGGAUUAAGAGGAAGGGAUCUGCCAAUCAAAGAAAAUCACAGCCUCGGAGCCCCAAGCAGGCCAUCAUGGGCUUUAUGGAGGAGGGCCGUUCUGGUAUUCCUAAGGUCACAAAGGCCUCCACCACUGUGGCAAGCCAUCAGGAAGGAUGUUUCAUCAUCAGCCACCCUUGUUUUCAAGGACAAUACUCUUGAGUGGUGGGGAUUUACAGAAUGUCAGGUGUCUGAGUAAAAGGGUCAAGGGCAUUCUCGGGCCUUGUCUCAUUCAGUUCUCAGAUCAAACAAUAGAGGGAGGUAAGUGUACCUCUGUUUUACAAAGAGCUGGUUGCCCAAGCCACGCAGCUUGGAAGGAACAGAAUGAAUGGUAUGCAACUCCAGAGGCUGCAUUUCGACCUCCAUGCCGCCCUCUCAACAGCUAACUAAUAACAAGGAUAAGCAAUUGAUAAUGUCA